GCCGAAGUGGCGGAACAGGCAGACGCGACGGUCUCAAAAACCGUUGGCCCGCGAGGGCCGUGCCGGUUCGAUCCCGGCCUUCGGCACCC
RNAcentral lists this transfer RNA (89 nucleotides) under Chloroflexota bacterium. Its description in RNAcentral is "Chloroflexi bacterium (sediment metagenome) tRNA-Leu". It matches the Rfam family "tRNA". Rfam says of the family: Transfer RNA (tRNA) molecules are approximately 80 nucleotides in length. Their secondary structure includes four short double-helical elements and three loops (D, anti-codon, and T loops). RNAcentral also lists the same sequence under 1 other name. Lineage: Bacteria; Bacillati; Chloroflexota. The record is from RNAcentral.